This 434-nucleotide ribosomal RNA is filed under the name uncultured bacterium. RNAcentral describes it as "partial 16S ribosomal RNA". It matches the Rfam family "Bacterial small subunit ribosomal RNA", at positions 341 to 792 of the family's 1533-position model. The record is from RNAcentral.
ACGGAAGGCAGCAGUGGGGAAUAUUGGGCAAUGGGGGAAACCCUGACCCAGCAACGCCGCGUGAAGGAAGACGGUCUUCGGGUUGUAAACUUUUGUUCUUAGUGAAGAUAAUGACGGUAGCUAAGGAGAAAGCCACGGCUAACUACGUGCCAGCAGCCGCGGUAAUACGUAGGUGGCAAGCGUUGUCCGGAAUUACUGGGUGUAAAGGGAGCGCAGGCGGGAAAUCAAGUUGGAUGUGAAAUGUCGGGGCUUAACCCCGGAACUGCAUCCAAAACUGAUUUUCUUGAGUGAAGUAGAGGUAGGCGGAAUUCCGAGUGUAGCGGUGAAAUGCGUAGAUAUUCGGAGGAACACCAGUGGCGAAGGCGGCCUACUGGGCUUUAACUGACGCUGAGGCUCGAAAGUGUGGGGAGCAAACAGGAUUAGAUACCCUGGUA